RNAcentral lists this long non-coding RNA (266 nucleotides) under Rosa chinensis. RNAcentral's name for it is "sRNA RchiOBHm_Chr3g0462481". The record is from RNAcentral. Lineage: Eukaryota; Viridiplantae; Streptophyta; Magnoliopsida; Rosales; Rosaceae.
GACGAUCCAGAUUAAUCCAAACUUCAAAGCUUGAUCUAGGACGAUCUAGGCCAAACCAGACUUAGCUCCAGUUAUGAGAGUUAAUCACCCUUUAAUUAUGAAGAAGUUUGUAGUUGGUCACUUUGCCAUCGGAGGUGGUUGGCCCGGCGUUGACCGCCGCCGUUGACCGCCGGUUUGACCGCCGCUUGUGGCAGCGCGUGGCGGCGCGUCCGGCCGUAUUUUUGUGUUCUGUUUUCAGUUUAUUCAUCUGUGCAUCGAUACGAGCG